CAGGCCUAACACAUGCAAGUCGAACGAACCUUCGGGUUAGUGGCGGACGGGUGAGUAACGCGUGAGAAUCUGCCCUCAGGAGGGGGAUAACAGUUGGAAACGACUGCUAAUACCCCAUAUGCCGAGAGGUGAAAUGAAUUUCGCCUGAGGAUGAGCUCGCGUCUGAUUAGCUUGUUGGUGGGGUAACGGCCUACCAAGGCUUCGAUCAGUAGCUGGUCUGAGAGGACGAUCAGCCACACUGGGACUGAGACACGGCCCAGACUCCUACGGGAGGCAGCAGUGGGGAAUUUUCCGCAACGGGCGAAAGCCUGACGGAGCAACGCCGCGUGAGGGAUGGAGGCCUUUGGGCUGUAAACCUCUUUUCUCAAGGAAGAAGACCUGACGGUACUUGAGGAAUAAGCCACGGCUAAUUCCGUGCCAGCAGCCGCGGUAAUACGGGAGUGGCAAGCGUUAUCCGGAAUUAUUGGGCGUAAAGCGUCCGCAGGCGGCCGUUUAAGUCUGUUGUUAAAUCGUGGAGCUCAACUCCAUCACGGCUAUGGAAACUGUUCGGCUUGAGUAUGGUAGGGGCAGAGGGAAUUUCCGGUGUAGCGGUGAAAUGCGUAGAUAUCGGGAAGAACACCAGUGGCGAAAGCGCUCUGCUGGACCAUUACUGACGCUCAUGGACGAAAGCCAGGGGAGCGAAAGGAUUAGAUACCCCUGUAG
RNAcentral lists this ribosomal RNA (702 nucleotides) under uncultured bacterium. RNAcentral's name for it is "bacterial SSU rRNA". It matches the Rfam family "Bacterial small subunit ribosomal RNA", at positions 43 to 793 of the family's 1533-position model. The record is from RNAcentral.